CGCAGGGUUGCUGUAUACUCAUCCAUACUGAUACCAAGGACCUUCCCCUGUUACACAUGCAGAUGUAAAAUGUUGCCCAUAAAUUCUUGUGUUUGGAUAUUUUCAAAUGCUACCCUCCUCCGAUUAAAUUCACUUAGAUUUCAACUUGUGCUGAACUUCUUAAUUUUUCAGUUGCACUUGAAGUUGCAAGUUUGUCAGUAAGCCAACCUCUUUUAACUUUACGUGUGUGUGUGUGUGUGUGUGUGUGUGUGUGUGUGUGUAGAGAUUUAUUUACAGGUCUUAUGGAUGGAGUCAUGAUCUUUAUAAGUUUUGUCUAGAAAACAUUUUCCUUAAAGUUAUCCACUGCCUCUGAACUUAAAUAUCCCUACAUCAUCUUUCAUGAUAGACACAUAAUCCCACUUACUAGCUUAAGAGAGACUGAUGGUGGCUGGAAAAGGGACAGCCAGUGUUCUUUAAUGGUGACUCUUGGUGGGUAGACCACCCUCCAGGGCAGGCCCUACUCCUAAGCGUAGUUGGACAAUGCAAUUGUAUUUAAUGGCUUUUAAAAAAAAUAAUAAUAAAAGAACUGGAAGUCGAGUUGGUAGGAGAUUGUGGGUGGGGAGGGUAAAUCUGGGACAGUUGGCAGGCUGAGAAUAUGAUCAAAAUAUAUUGUAUGAAAUAUUUAAAGAACUAAUAAAAUAUCUUAAAAUUUUAAACAGAAUAAACAGUUACUCAGAGGCAGGAAUAAAAUAGCCCUGUGUUGGAAUUCUGCCUCUUCUUUCUCUCUUUCUCUCUUACCCUCCCUCCUUCCCUCCCUUCCUCUUUCUCUCUCUCUUUUCUCUCUCUCUUUCUUUCUUUCUUUCUUUCUCACUCAGUUUUCUAAUUUGCAAAAUGGCAAUAAUAAGCAUUCUUGCUCUUAAAAUUAUUGUAAAAGUGCAACUUAAUACUAAAGGUAACACUGGCCUAGGCCCUAGUACAAAGCAAAUGAUCCGUACAUGCUAUUACAGUAGUCCAGUGCAGUUUUCCUCUCCUACAACAUACUUUGUUGGUGAGAGAAGCUCAGAAGACCAUUCAGAAUUGAUAUCUGGGCUAAGACAAAAAGGGAAAAGAAAAGAGCUCC
Molecule: long non-coding RNA, 1099 nt
Filed under: Mus musculus (house mouse)
Lineage: Eukaryota; Metazoa; Chordata; Mammalia; Rodentia; Muridae
Description: long non-coding RNA chr16:45119462-45120561
Source: RNAcentral